UACAGAGGUGGCAAGCGUUGUUCGGAAUUACUGGGCGUAAAGGGCGCGUAGGCGGCCAUCUAAGUCAGACGUGAAAUCCCCCGGCUUAACCUGGGAACUGCGUCUGAUACUGGAAGGCUUGAGUAUGGGAGAGGGAUGUAGAAUUCCGGGUGUAGCGGUGGAAUGCGUAGAGAUCCGGAAGAACACCGGUGGCGAAGGCGGCCUGCUGGGGUCUGGCUGACGCUGAGGCGCGACAGCGUGGGGAGCAAACAGG
This 253-nucleotide ribosomal RNA is filed under the name uncultured bacterium. RNAcentral's name for it is "partial 16S ribosomal RNA". It matches the Rfam family "Bacterial small subunit ribosomal RNA", at positions 524 to 776 of the family's 1533-position model. The record is from RNAcentral.